RNAcentral lists this ribosomal RNA (465 nucleotides) under Vreelandella stevensii. Its description in RNAcentral is "partial 16S ribosomal RNA". It matches the Rfam family "Bacterial small subunit ribosomal RNA", at positions 338 to 795 of the family's 1533-position model. The record is from RNAcentral. Lineage: Bacteria; Pseudomonadati; Pseudomonadota; Gammaproteobacteria; Oceanospirillales; Halomonadaceae.
CCUACGGGUGGCAGCAGUGGGGAAUAUUGGACAAUGGGCGAAAGCCUGAUCCAGCCAUGCCGCGUGUGUGAAGAAGGCCUUCGGGUUGUAAAGCACUUUCAGUGGGGAAGAAAGCCUUGGGGCUAAUACCCUCGAGGAAGGACAUCACCCACAGAAGAAGCACCGGCUAACUCCGUGCCAGCAGCCGCGGUAAUACGGAGGGUGCGAGCGUUAAUCGGAAUUACUGGGCGUAAAGCGCGCGUAGGCGGUCUGAUAAGCCGGUUGUGAAAGCCCCGGGCUCAACCUGGGAACGGCAUCCGGAACUGUCAGGCUAGAGUGCAGGAGAGGAAGGUAGAAUUCCCGGUGUAGCGGUGAAAUGCGUAGAGAUCGGGAGGAAUACCAGUGGCGAAGGCGGCCGUCUGGACUGACACUGACGCUGAGGUGCGAAAGCGUGGGUAGCAAACAGGAUUAGAUACCCUGGUAGUC